UGGGCAACCUGCCCUCAGCUCUGGGAUAACUCCGGGAAACCGGGGCUAAUACCGGAUACGACCUUCUCUGGCAUCAGGGGUGGUGGAAAGUUCUUCGGCUGAGGAUGGGCCCGCGGCCUAUCAGCUUGUUGGUGGGGUCACGGCCCACCAAGGCGACGACGGGUAGCCGGCCUGAGAGGGCGACCGGCCACACUGGGACUGAGAUACGGUCCAGAUUCCUACGGGAGGCA
RNAcentral lists this ribosomal RNA (230 nucleotides) under uncultured bacterium. RNAcentral describes it as "partial 16S ribosomal RNA". It matches the Rfam family "Bacterial small subunit ribosomal RNA", at positions 118 to 350 of the family's 1533-position model. The record is from RNAcentral.